Molecule: ribosomal RNA, 423 nt
Filed under: uncultured Roseburia sp.
Lineage: Bacteria; Bacillati; Bacillota; Clostridia; Lachnospirales; Lachnospiraceae
Description: bacterial SSU rRNA
Rfam family: Bacterial small subunit ribosomal RNA
Source: RNAcentral
UGGGGAAUAUUGCACAAUGGGGGAAACCCUGAUGCAGCGACGCCGCGUGAGCGAAGAAGUAUUUCGGUAUGUAAAGCUCUAUCAGCAGGGAAGAAGAAUGACGGUACCUGACUAAGAAGCACCGGCUAAAUACGUGCCAGCAGCCGCGGUAAUACGUAUGGUGCAAGCGUUAUCCGGAUUUACUGGGUGUAAAGGGAGCGCAGGCGGUACGGCAAGUCUGAUGUGAAAGCCCGGGGCUCAACCCCGGUACUGCAUUGGAAACUGUCGGACUAGAGUGUCGGAGGGGUAAGUGGAAUUCCUAGUGUAGCGGUGAAAUGCGUAGAUAUUAGGAGGAACACCAGUGGCGAAGGCGGCUUACUGGACGAUCACUGACGCUGAGGCUCGAAAGCGUGGGGAGCAAACAGGAUUAGAUACCCUGGUAGU